GAGAUGUGGGUUAGUCCGCACGAGCGCACCUCACUUUUAGUUGCCAUCAUUAAGUUGGGCACUCUGAAAGAACUGCCAGUGAUAAGCUGGAGGAAGGCGGGGAUGACGUCAAGUCCUCAUGGCCCUUACGUGUUGGGCUACACACGUGCUACAAUGGCAUCUACAACAGGAAGCAAAACGGCAACGUUAAGCAAAUCCCGAAAAGAUGCCUCAGUUCGGAUUGCACUCUGCAACUCGAGUGCAUGAAGCUGGAAUUACUAGUAAUCGUGGAUCAGCGUGCCACGGUGAAUGCGUUCCCGGGUCUUGUACACACCGCCCGUCACACCAUGGGAGUUGGUUCUACCUUAAGGCAAGGUUUUAAACCCUUGACCACGGUAUAGUCAGCGACUGGGGUGAAGUCGUAACAAGGUAGCCGUAGGGGAACCUGCGGCUGGAUUACCUCCUUUCU
This 448-nucleotide ribosomal RNA is filed under the name uncultured Pelagibacterales bacterium. Its description in RNAcentral is "bacterial SSU rRNA". It matches the Rfam family "Bacterial small subunit ribosomal RNA", at positions 1071 to 1533 of the family's 1533-position model. The record is from RNAcentral. Lineage: Bacteria; Pseudomonadati; Pseudomonadota; Alphaproteobacteria; Candidatus Pelagibacterales.